This 490-nucleotide ribosomal RNA is filed under the name uncultured bacterium. RNAcentral describes it as "bacterial SSU rRNA". It matches the Rfam family "Bacterial small subunit ribosomal RNA", at positions 335 to 817 of the family's 1533-position model. The record is from RNAcentral.
ACUCCUACGGGAGGCAGCAGUGGGGAAUAUUGGACAAUGGGCGCAAGCCUGAUCCAGCCAUGCCGCGUGUGUGAAGAAGGCCUUCGGGUUGUAAAGCACUUUUGUCCGGAAAGAAAAGCCUAGGGUUAAUACCCUUGGGUUAUGACGGUACCGGAAGAAUAAGCACCGGCUAACUUCGUGCCAGCAGCCGCGGUAAUACGAAGGGUGCAAGCGUUACUCGGAAUUACUGGGCGUAAAGCGUGCGUAGGUGGUUCGUUAAGUCUGAUGUGAAAGCCCUGGGCUCAACCUGGGAAUGGCAUUGGAUACUGGCGACCUAGAGUGCGGUAGAGGGUGGCGGAAUUCCCGGUGUAGCAGUGAAAUGCGUAGAUAUCGGGAGGAACAUCCGUGGCGAAGGCGGCCACCUGGACCAGCACUGACACUGAGGCACGAAAGCGUGGGGAGCAAACAGGAUUAGAUACCCUGGUAGUCCACGCCCUAAGCGAUGCGAACU